RNAcentral lists this long non-coding RNA (3530 nucleotides) under Nicotiana tabacum (common tobacco). Its description in RNAcentral is "long non-coding RNA (NTAB_LNC005613)". Lineage: Eukaryota; Viridiplantae; Streptophyta; Magnoliopsida; Solanales; Solanaceae. The record is from RNAcentral.
GGCUUUUGAACCCUAAGAAGAAGAAGGCCAACCGUCACCUAACUCCAUCUUCACCUUAGAGCCAUCUCACCUCCCUUCAUAGACCUAACCGCCGCACCACCCAUCUCUGACGCCUAUCGCCGCCGCGCCACCACCAAAGAAAAAGGCAGCCACUCCACCCUCAACAAAAACCCGCCGGAAACCUAACACACUCCACCCUUCUCGAUCUACCAACGACCUCACUCUCCCUUUCACUUUGAGAGACAACAACCAAUCUCUCAUUUUCCAAAAUGAAAGAAACGACAAAAAACAGAAGGGGAAUGGGAUUUGGAAAACGAAACAGAGCAGAGAACAGACUACCCUAGAGCUAAUGGCCGCACUCCCUUAUGUUUGAGACUCUAAUCUCUUUGUUUUUCACGCCUCAUCAACGACUCCCAUACCCCUAUUCUUAUCUUCUCCCAUAUCUCUCUCUCUUUCCGUAGCUACUGCCGUCGCCAUCAUUUAAGCCGCCGUUGCCAAAAAUCUGCCGCUCACAUCAUUUUGGUCGAGUUAAAGAGGUCGAAUUCGAGUUCGCCGGUGAGUUUCAGUUCGUUGGUCAUGGUUGAAUUUUCUGAUUCUCGAUUCAGUGUGGAUUCAGUCCAAUUUCUCAGAAGAAAAUUAUCAUUAAAGGUCUAAUUCUCUUUCUUUUUUUGUGCAUUUUUAUGUUACAACUUUGCUGUUGAUUGCUUGACUUUGCAAAUUGAUUUUGUGGCUGAUAUUAUAAUUUGUAUGUUAGUAGUAUGUUCUUGACAGAAUAAUUGUUAUGCUUUAAAUCACUUAUUCUUUAGUUAACAUAAGAAAUGAAUUGGAUUUGGAUUAUGGGUUUAGUUAAAAAGUUGAAAUUGAAGAUGAUGCUAUCUUGAAGACAGGGAAGUGAUUUAAACUUAAGAAUAUUUUUGAUUAAUUUUCUUGUUUGAUUUUAUUCUAUUAAUGGCCAUGGGGUCGGGACAUAAAGGAGUAGAAUUGAAAUUUGUGUAUUACAUGUUUACUACUUUAUUUUAUUUUGACCGCUAGUAGCAUGCUUAGGACGACCACACUAGGGUAGGCAAAUUUUAGGUCUCGUCUUUUAUUUCAUUCGAGGUGAGAGCUUGUUCCCUUUAGUCUAUAUUUAGGAGAAUGCCCCGUAGAUAUUGUAUAUAGUAUUAUCCGGGGGUAUGCCCCGUAAUGAAUGUAAUUGAAGGCCGUGACGGACAUCGUGGAAUGAGCAUAGUGUAGACUCUUUGUAUUUUUAUCUUAUUUUAUUUAGAUGGGGACGACCUCGAGCCUCUUGUGUGUUUUUGCCUUAGUCUGAGUAUUCUUUAAAGCCAACUAGAUCAAGUACACAAUCGUGACUUUCACGGGACUUGGGGAAUGCCUAACACCUUCUACCCAAGUCAAAUAAAUCCCCUUGUCAUGAAUAUUUGGUGCAGACUAUGUUUAGAGUCAAAUGUGUUUUGAAGAAAAUUUUUUAUUUUAAAAACGGUGACUUGGCACACCGAAACGAAAUAUCAGGUGGCGACUCUGAUAAAAUCCUUCGAAACACAAAACUCUUGUCACUUUUAAUUUAAAAACCCUUUUAAGCUUCAAAAUUUUUUACUACUUUAAAGGGGUUAGUGAGGUGAAAAAGGGGUGUGACAGAUUUGGCGACUUUGCUAGGGAGUUGCAGGUUCGAACGACACUUGAUCUUGUUGGAUUUUUAGAAUAUUCGGAUGAGGUUUUUACGCUUUUUUAUUUUCUUUAUGUGAUUUUUAUUUUGUUUAUGUUGUUUUAUUAUUUGCUAGUUGUUUUAUGUGUUUACAGUUUUUCUUUUAUAUGUUGCUGCUUUAUAACUGUCAUCAUAUGUCAAUUCUUUCUGCAACAAGUCUCGUAGUAUGUGUUGCGUACACAAACUCUUUAUUGAGUCACCCUUAUUAUAGGAGGAGGCCGUUUGAUGUAUGGAGUGGGUGAAAAGCUUGAGCAGCCACUAUCGACCAUACGCUCCCCCGAAUUGCCUUGUUAGUGAACCCCAAAACGUAGGUCAGCCUUUAGGUCAUUUUUAUUUGCAUCAUAUCAUUUAGACCUACCAAGGCUCGGUCCCAGGCACCGUGUCCCUUUGUAGGAGGCCUAUCCAAAUUAUAUCAAAAUGGGUCAGUGGCCCAAAAAGACAUUUAAUCAUCCCUAUGUGUUACAUGUUGUAUUCUUUAAGAGUAAAAGGUGUCAUUUGGCGGAUCAAUAAUGGUUAAGGGUAAAUGAGAAAGAAAAGAGGGUGAAGUGUAAAAAUGAAUCAAGCAGGGCCCAUUUAUAUUUUUCUUUCACAAUUUUUUUUCAAGAAAAAGACCAAAAAAAUGAAAAUGAAAAAUCCAAAAAGAUUUUGCACAUUCCCAUCAUUUUUCAAAAAGACAAAAAAUAUGUUUUCUCCAAAUCGGUUGUUUUUUCAAAAUUCUCUCCCAUAUCCAAUCUUCCCGAACUAUGCAUACCUGAUUCUCGUCUUUCGGGACGGGAUACGUAGGCAGCCCAUAUAGGGCCUGGUCUUCCUAUUGAGUCUUAGGUUCUUGGCUUCAGGAAGUCAUAGCCAAAUCUUGCAUGUCUAGCCACGUUUGGCCAUAUUGAUCAUUUUGCAAAAUAGUGAUAUUUUCUCAAACUGGAUUAUUAUUCCAUGUUCCGUAAGUCCACAACAAGGCGUUCUCUCAAUUUUAAGGUCCAUUCCUGUUGAAUUUGCAUGUCUAGUCACUUUUGCCCACAUCAUCCAUUCUUGCAAAAUAGGGUCAUUUUCGCGAAAGUGGUUUAGCGACCCAUGUAUUACAAUAUUGAGUCCACAACUAGGUGUCAUAUUACUUUAAGACCGUCUUUAUUGAAUUUUCAUCUUUAGCCACGUUUGUCCAUAUCGGCCAUUUGCAAAAUGGGUCAUUUUUGCAAAGUAAUUUCUAGGGCCAUGAUUAUUAGAAAUUUGAAGCCAUAUAAACCUUAGUGACGCAUUCCAUGUAUUAUAGGUCACCUUUGUUGAGUUUGCACUAAUAGCCACCCUUGGCCACGUAGGUCAUUUUGCAAAAAUAGCCCAAUCAUGUCUUGCAUGUGUCCAAUAGGAGGUGUUGUUGCGUUGCAUAGUGUCUUGAGUCACUAACCUUAUUUAAUCUUAUUCUUCUCAUUCAGGUAUGGAUCCAUUUGUCAGUGCUUGAGCAUGACAGACGCCCCAGGACCAUCCAGUCAGGACCACUACAUUUAGGAGUUGCUUGAAGAGACUUUUUAUAUUUUUGAGUAUGUUUUCAUGUUUCUUUUACUUUCUAGUCUUGGUUAUUGUACUUCCUGUUUUGUAUUUGAAAACAAAAAAAGGUUUAUAAAUGGAAAAUCUAAAAAUAUUUUUAUUUUUAGUUUAUUUUGUCCAUUACUUUUCCAGAACUACGCUUGAUCUUAUUCAUGUGGAACAUGAUAUGUAGGCAACCUAUAUAGGAUUCGAUCGAAUCAUUUUUUUAAAAUUAAAAACAAAUAUGAAGUUAUAGAAUGUGAUACAUGAGAGGAAAGAAAAGAGUGAUAAUUAGAAAGAAAAGAGAGAGAGG